RNAcentral lists this transfer RNA (19 nucleotides) under Micrococcus luteus. RNAcentral describes it as "tRNA-Ala". The record is from RNAcentral. Lineage: Bacteria; Bacillati; Actinomycetota; Actinomycetes; Micrococcales; Micrococcaceae.
UGGCUUCAGGUGCCAGUGU